UGGAUCGAGAUAGCUCUGUUCCUCACCGCUUUAUUUGCCUCGAUCGCCUGCCCAGGGAAGACCUCCUGCCCUCCUCCUCUCGCCAGCGCCGCCGAAGGGAACCAGCCCGCCACCGGAGCUCCAGAGUGUCCAGCCCUCUAUCCCCUCCCAUCUCUCCCUUCCCCUCUCCAUCGCCGACACUCCCCAUCCAUGGACGCCUCAACGCCUCUCUAUCUUCGUACGUGACCACCACUUCAGAAGGGGGCAUAGCCGAGGGGUGAUCUGCGCUCCUCUCCAAUGACUCCGCCACAGCUGAAUCCGGUUUUAGUCCAGCAAGAAGCAGUCGAACAGUGGCGCGUCGACCAUCCCGUCGGGUGUGUGGCUAGAGGGCAUAUCCAACUGGUGUCCUUGAGGUGCAGCGCGGGUAGAAGGUGGGGCUCGUGGGCAUCAAUGGCACCGGCAAAACCACGCAUCUCCACACCAUCGCUGGUAUCGAGGAGCUCGACGGCAGCAACUUCGUAAAGGCCAACGCUAGCCUGAAGUUUGCCUUCCUCGGCCAUAAAUUCGAGGUCUGCGCCUCCCGGACAGUAGGGUGGAGUUUCUCAGCUUCUUGCAGGAGGAGAUGACCGUGAAGGACUGCCUCAACCUGCUGCAGGGCCUUCUAGCGCGCCACCGAGGAUAUGGGCCUCAUGGGGUCAUGGAAUUUGCAGCUCGCCAUCAUCGAUGAGAGAGACUAGCUCAGACUAUUGGUGCUCUGUGUUGUUGAGUUCUAUGCGAGGUGACCACCCAAUUGUGGAUGACACAUGAAGUGUUAGUAAAGUUUGACUGUCAUGCAAGAGAAUGUGAGUACUACAUUAUAGGUUGAUUGUUACCGUGAUUCAUUUAAAAAAAUUUGUUGUCCUGAUUGAUCAUAUGAUUGGUAAAUUAUCCACUCCGCGAUUGCAAGAGCAAGACUGAGGUGUCUUUUUCCUGGCUAGAUAAAGGUUUGACUCUGCAUUUUAAGAAGGUGAUUCAGUAAAACUGCUUGCCUUGAAUUCAGAAGGUGAGAGGACUAAAAAUGUUCAUCUUUUACACUGUCCAUACUAUUCUAACAAUGUUCAGAGGGCUAUCCAUUGACAGGCCCAAUUUUGGAGUGAACUUCACACAAAUGAGAGAAGCAUCAAUACGACCAACUGUACUGCCUCUAAUCUCUUUUCCAUGCAGUAAACUUCACACGAAUCAAUGUCAUUUGAUCAUGCAAAUGAGACCAUCUUACACGCUGAAUCAGCUCGAUCAAGUGUCUAAGCGCCAUCACUUUCUGAUAAGUCACCCAAACAUUCCAAGUAUAGUUAACAUAGACAGACCGACUGGGAUCUUAAGACCACGGCUUCACUUCUUAGAGUAAGCCUGUUGGCCAGGCAAUUUUUAAUCUUCUGUAGUGCUUUUAUUUCCUGAAUUGCACGGGAGUCAUGUCACGGUUACGGUUUCUUUUCUCAUUUGUAUAAUUAUAUGCCUGGCAGUAGUGAACGCUUCGUAAGUGUAAGCAUAAGCCCUCCUUAUGUAGCAACCAGUGAAAAGAUUGUAUUGCACAGGUUGUUCAUGGAAAAAACAAAAUGAAGGUCUACUUAAUUUAUUGAUUCGGUUUUGGUUCUAGAUUAGUGUACUUUAAAUUUCAGAUUUCCUAAUUCAACAGGCUUAGCUAUGAAAACCCAGCAAUACUAUCCCGUUUCAGGUUUUCAGUUUGUCAAUUCACAUUCUUUCUUUUAUUUAGCGUUUACUAAUCUGUUCAACUUUUAUAUAGGGUAUAAUUAUGCAUGCAAUCCAUAACUACAGUUCUGAUUUUCCCAGUAAAAGUAUUUCAACAUCUCCACUCCCGUGGCUAAAUUGGUCAAGAUUUUCAAUACUAGGUGAGUGCAGAUAGUACAGCGGGAACUAAUGGUACCAUGGGCAGAGAGUUUUGUUGCUAAGGUGCACAUGUUGAUUUCAGCUGCGUGCCACAUGUGUCCUGAAACGUCUAGAAGAGAUUGUUGAGUGAUUUUCUCUGCCAGUAAUGUUCAUUUAUAAUGUUUGGAAAACAUGGUAUUUUAUAUCGCUUCUAUGAAAAACUCCACCCACAUUGUGCCAUUGUUCUAUUUGUCACACUCAUCACACAUGGUGUUCUAUUUUUAGCUUCAUGCCAAGGUGAUGAGGACGCACUAUACCAUAUUCUCUGAUUCAUGGAUAUAAGAAAGGUCAGUGAGAGAAAAUGCCGUGUAAAAAACAUAUGUGAUGGAUAUAUAAAACAAGAAGAGGCUAAUUAUUUGAAAUAGCAGGCUGUGGCAUCGUCAGUAAACCUGAGGUGUUGCACUGAGCUACAAAGCAUGUUGUUUCACUGGCAAGUUUCCAAAUUUUCACAUGGUGGAUUCUAGAUUUAUACGUUUACGGAUUCCCUAGCUUUUUCCUCCAUAAACAUUAGGUGAGUAUAUAUAUAUUUAAGUAUGUGGUUAGAUAACUUAGUAUGACUAUUGUGUGCCUCUCUUGACUUAAUGGGCGAGCAAGCUGCUAAAUUUAAUGGCUGGAGCAAUUUUUCUUGGCGCAUUGGUUCAGACAUACACUCUUGCAUUUUUCUGAGUUACACGUUGUCUAGAUAUCACUAGAGUUACUUUAUGUUCAGCUGCAUGCUUACCAUUUUUGUAAUAUUUUCAUUCUUCUGAGUCGUGUUGGCUAGGUUUCUAACUAAUUGGUGUUGGCAAGGUAAUAAUGUUUUCAGACAUCCCUCUGUACUAGACUCGAAAAUUUAGUUUACGUUGUAUACCUCUCUUAAUAUAUUUUUUGCAGCAGAUUUUUUUAGUCCAAGAAGCAUUGAAUCUUACUUCUAUCCUAGGGGAACAGAAUGGAAGGAUGUGUGCCAGCUAAUUGUAUAGACCAAUUCAAGCCACAGCUAAAAAGAGAUUUAGCUUUCUACUAGAAGCACCAUUCUUCCGUUGGAGUUCCUCGCAUCAAUAAGCUUAUGCUAGCUGAUACUGAAGUUCACAUACUGCUGGUCAUCCUCACUGAGCUCUCUUAAAUUCAUUUAUCUUAGAGUUUGGUGUUUGCUGAAACAUAUACAGAGCUUGGUGAGGUGUAGGUGUUAGUUUGCAUGUGCGAUUUCCUUUUUUUCCCUCUUGCACAUUCUACAUGUGUACCAAGCCAUAAAAUUUGAAAUGGUUGGUGCUGAUGUGCAAGCACUAUCCGUGGUUUUCGCUGCAGUAUGUUGUAACUAACGUACUGUCUUUGUAAAUGCUGCCGAAGUGUUUGAAAUUCAGUAUUCCAGUUAGCCACGGCA
Molecule: long non-coding RNA, 3262 nt
Organism: Lolium perenne
Lineage: Eukaryota; Viridiplantae; Streptophyta; Magnoliopsida; Poales; Poaceae
Source: RefSeq, a predicted model, not a curated record